This 75-nucleotide transfer RNA is filed under the name Clostridiales bacterium. RNAcentral describes it as "tRNA-Arg". It matches the Rfam family "tRNA". From Rfam's summary of the family: Transfer RNA (tRNA) molecules are approximately 80 nucleotides in length. Their secondary structure includes four short double-helical elements and three loops (D, anti-codon, and T loops). Further hydrogen bonds mediate the characteristic L-shaped molecular structure. tRNAs have two regions of fundamental functional importance: the anti-codon, which is responsible for specific mRNA codon recognition, and the 3' end, to which the tRNAs corresponding amino acid is attached (by aminoacyl-tRNA synthetases). tRNAs cope with the degeneracy of the genetic code in two manners: having more than one tRNA (with a specific anti-codon) for a particular amino acid; and 'wobble' base-pairing, i.e. permitting non-standard base-pairing at the 3rd anti-codon position. The record is from RNAcentral. Lineage: Bacteria; Bacillati; Bacillota; Clostridia; Eubacteriales.
CGCGAGAUGGAGCAGUGGCAGCUUAUUGGUCUCCUAAGCCAAAGGUCGAAGGUUCGAUUCCUUCUCUCGCUACCA